CUUCUUCAAUCUGCUGGGGUGCGAUGAAGUGGAUGUGGGUGUCGAUGCCACCGGCGGUGACGAUGUUGCCCUCGCAGGAGAUGAUUUCCGUGCCCGGGCCAAUGAUGAUGUCCACGCCCGGCUGUGUGUCAGGAUUGCCGGCCUUGCCAAUGGCUGCAAUGCGCCCGUCCUUCAAGCCGAUGUCGGCUUUGACAAUGCCCCAGUGGUCCACGAUCAGCGCAUUGGUCAGUACCGUGUCCAUGGCGCCUUGUUCCCGUGAGCGCUGGCUUUGUGCCAUGCCAUCGCGAAUG
This is a small RNA of Acidovorax sp. 12322-1, 290 nucleotides long. It matches the Rfam family "5' ureB small RNA". Lineage: Bacteria; Pseudomonadati; Pseudomonadota; Betaproteobacteria; Burkholderiales; Comamonadaceae. The record is from Rfam.